UACGGGGGAUGCAAGCGUUAUCCGGAAUCAUUGGGCGUAAAGCGCCUGUAGGUUGUUUAAUAAGUCUGUUGUUAAAGACUAGGGCUUAACCCUAGAAAAGCAAUGGAAACUACUAGACUAGAGUAUGGCAGGGGUAGAGGGAAUUUCUAGUGUAGCGGUGAAAUGCGUAGAUAUUAGAAAGAACACCGGUGGCGAAAGCGCUCUACUGGACCAUUACUGACACUCAGAGGCGAAAGCUAGGGUAGCAAAAGGGAUUAGAUACCCCUGUAGUCCUAGCCGUAAACGAUGGAUACUACAUGUUGUGCAUUAUGUACAGUAUGGUAGCUAACGCGUUAAGUAUCCCGCCUGGGGAGUACGCUCGCAAGGGUGAAACUCAAAGGAAUUGACGGGGGCCCGCACAAGCGGUGGAGCAUGUGGUUUAAUUCGAUGCAACGCGAAGAACCUUACCAGGACUUGACAUACUACAAAUUCUUUGGAGACAAAGAAGUGCCUUCGGGAAUGUAGAUACAGGUGGUGCAUGGCU
RNAcentral lists this ribosomal RNA (523 nucleotides) under uncultured cyanobacterium. RNAcentral's name for it is "bacterial SSU rRNA". It matches the Rfam family "Bacterial small subunit ribosomal RNA", at positions 524 to 1050 of the family's 1533-position model. Lineage: Bacteria; Bacillati; Cyanobacteriota. The record is from RNAcentral.